UCAAGCUCUCCUUUAGUGAGUACAAGUGAAUGAUUUAGUACAAAUGACAUUAGGAAAUAUUCUAAGAGAAUGAUCUCUAGUUAUAGAAGAGAGUUUCUAGUUUCAUUCUGACAUUGACACGUGUCGUGUUGUGAUUGGCUUCUGAUGUUAACACGUGUCGCGCUAUGACUGUCUUUUGAUGUCAACACGUGUCGCACUAUGAUUGGCCUCCUGGUUAGAGGGAAACUCUUCUGGGUCAUUGACGGUAACGUUGACCGGUGCUCAGUAGUUUCGGGAUUAGUCAAGUAUGGUACAAACAGAUGGCAUGACUAUAUUUAUGUUUUAUACAACUCUGACAUUGUCAUACAGGUUGUAAUAGGCAACUCUGACAUUGUUGUACAGGUUGUAAUAGUAGGCAACUGUGACAUUGUCGUACAGGUUGCAAUAGUAGGCAACUCCGACAUUGUCGUACAAGUUGUAAUAGGCAACUCAAACACUGUCUACAGGUUGCAAUGAUAGGUAACUCUGACAUUAUCGUACAUGUCGCAAUGGGCAACUCCGACACUGUCGAACAGGUUGCCUAUGAGUCGUACAGGUUGUAUUAGACCACUCCGACUCAUGUGUUUUCAUUGAUUUAUUUAUGAGUCGUAUAGGUUGUGUUAGGCAACUCUGACUGGUGGGUUAUCAUAUAUUGAUGAGCCCCUGACUUUAUUAUGUUGUUUCCGAUAUAUAGUGAUUUUGGAUUAUUUUUGCAUUUCAUGUUGAUUUACAUUCGACUUCAUACUUAUAUGUAGUAUGAUUUCCUGGAAACUAUACAAGUAGUACAUCGAGGGGUUAUAUCGUUUAGAAGAUCCUUAUUAAAGCUUUAUACUCAAGCCCACUCGCUCUUGUUUUUUUUUUAUCCUUCCAGGUUCUAGUAGCAAAGUUUUCGUAUCGACGAGGAUUCGUGGCAAGUCUUAGUAUUAGAGAUUACCUUCGACGGUAUGAUUUUUGUUUGUACCAUACUUGGCCAAUCUCGAAACUACUGAGCACCGGUCAGCAUUAUACCAUCAAGGACCUUGAAGAGUUUCCCUCCAAGUAGGAGGCCAAUCACAGCGCGACACGUGUUGACAUCAGAAGCCAAUCAUAGCGCAACACGUGUCAACAUCAGAAGCCAAUCAAAACACGACACGUGUCAAUGUCAAAACAAAGCUAGAAACUCUCGUCUGUAAAAGGAGAUCAUUCUCCCACAAUAUUUCCUAAUGUCAUUUGUACUAAAUCAUUCACUAGUGCUCACUAAAGGAGAGCUUGAACCUAUGUACUUAUGUAAACCCUUCACAAUUAAUUAGAACUCCUCUACUCCGUGGACGUAGCCAAUCUGGGUGAACCACAUACAUCUUGUGUUUGCUUCCCUGUCUCUAUCCAUUUCAUACUUAUCCACACUAGUGACCAGAGCAAUCUAGCGAAGGUCACAAACGUAAUACUUUCUGUUGUACCUAAGUCCUCACUGAUUUUGUGCAUCAACAUUUGGCGCCGUUUAUGGGAACGACACCUAUUCCCACUCUUUUCAGCUUAACAAAGUUGGUUUCCACCAUUCAUACACUCUCUUUUGACCAGGCAUCCCUUUGCAACAUGGGGAGUGAAGGAAGCAUGGCAUGAAAUCAGAAAUUAUGUAGGGGACAAGAGUGAUCAAGCAUGGCAUGGGAAUCCAAAGGGAAUUCUAUGUUGUUUUGCAUGGCAAUGAAGGCAAGUUGGGGUGACAAAUUUUUGGGCUGAGUUCUUCAUCUUUUGGACCAUAUUUCUUCACAUUCUUGGCCUCUUUAGUUCUCAAAUUCGUCCAUCCACUUUGGGCCAAAUAUGUGACAUGCAUUCCAAGAAGUGGUAAGGAGGUUGGGGUAGGUUCUUCAUAAAAAACAGGUCCCAAAGAGGAUGAAAUGUUGCAAAUGGAGGAGGAGGAAGCAUGCCCACCCACGGCAAAGGUGGACACACCUAUG
This 1952-nucleotide long non-coding RNA is filed under the name Malus domestica (apple). Its description in RNAcentral is "long non-coding RNA (MDOM_LNC018669)". The record is from RNAcentral. Lineage: Eukaryota; Viridiplantae; Streptophyta; Magnoliopsida; Rosales; Rosaceae.